UACGUAGGGACCGAGCGUUGUCCGGAAUCAUUGGGCGUAAAGGGUGCGUAGGCGGCGCGGUAAGUCGGGUGUGAAAUCUCGGAGCUUAACUCCGAAACUGCAUUCGAUACUGCCGUGCUUGAGGACUGGAGAGGAGACUGGAAUUUACGGUGUAGCGGUGAAAUGCGUAGAUAUCGUAAGGAAGACCAGUGGCGAAGGCGGGUCUCUGGACAGUUCCUGACGCUGAGGCACGAAGGUCAGGGGAGCAAACGGG
Molecule: ribosomal RNA, 253 nt
Filed under: uncultured bacterium
Lineage: Bacteria
Description: partial 16S ribosomal RNA
Rfam family: Bacterial small subunit ribosomal RNA
Source: RNAcentral